UUUUUGGAGAGUUUGAUCCUGGCUCAGGACGAACGCUGGCGGCGUGCCUAAUACAUGCAAGUCGAGCGGACUUU
Molecule: ribosomal RNA, 74 nt
Filed under: Bacillus benzoevorans
Lineage: Bacteria; Bacillati; Bacillota; Bacilli; Caryophanales; Bacillaceae
Also listed under: 1 other name
Description: Bacterial small subunit ribosomal RNA
Rfam family: Bacterial small subunit ribosomal RNA
Source: Rfam by way of RNAcentral